This 378-nucleotide ribosomal RNA is filed under the name uncultured bacterium. Its description in RNAcentral is "bacterial SSU rRNA". It matches the Rfam family "Bacterial small subunit ribosomal RNA", at positions 129 to 507 of the family's 1533-position model. The record is from RNAcentral.
CCCGUUACUCUCGGAUAGCCUUCCGAAAGGGAGAUUAAUACGAGAUUGGUGUUUUAAUUCCGCAUGUUAUUAGAACUAAAGAUUUAUCGGUAACGGAUAGGGAUGCGUGACAUUAGAUAGUUGCGGGUAACGCCCACCAAGUCCACGAUGUCUAGGGGUUCUGAGAGGAAGGUCCCCCGCACUGGAACUGAGACACGGUCCAGACUCCUACGGGAGGCAGCAGUGAGGAAUAUUGGUCAAUGGGCGCAAGUCUGAACCAGCCAUGCCGCGUGCAGGAUGACGGCUCUAUGAGUUGUAAACUGCUUUUGUACAAGGGUAAACCUCGGUACGUGUACCGAGCUGAAAGUACUGUACGAAUAAGGAUCGGCUAACUCCGUG